Molecule: ribosomal RNA, 460 nt
Filed under: uncultured bacterium
Lineage: Bacteria
Description: partial 16S ribosomal RNA
Rfam family: Bacterial small subunit ribosomal RNA
Source: RNAcentral
CCUACGGGUGACAGCAGUGAGGAAUAUUGGUCAAUGGGCGCGAGCCUGAACCAGCCAAGUAGCGUGAAGGAUGACUGCCCUACGGGUUGUAAACUUCUUUUAUAAAGGAAUCAAGUGAGGCACGUGUGCCUUUUUGUAUGUACUUUAUGCAUAAGAAUCGGCUAACUCCGUGCCAGCAGCCGCGGUAAUACGGAGGAUCCGAGCGUUAUACGGAUUUAUUGGGUUUAAAGGGAGCGUAGAUGGGUUGUUAAGUCAGUUGUGAAAGUUCGCGGCUCAACCGUAAAAUUGCAAUUGAUACUGGCAGCCUUGAGUACAGUUGAGGUAGGCGGAAUUCGUGGUGUAGCGGUGAAAUGCUUAGAUAUCACGAAGAACUCCGAUUGCGAAGGCAGCUUACUAAACUGCCACUGACAUUGAUGCUCGAAAGUGUGGGUAUCAAACAGGAUUAGAUACCCUGGUAGUC